ACGCUCGACACCUACGGGAGACAGCAGUGGGGAAUAUUGCACAAUGGGGGAAACCCUGAUGCAGCGACGCCGCGUGAGCGAAGAAGUAUUUCGGUAUGUAAAGCUCUAUCAGCAGGGAAGAAACUGACGGUACCUGACUAAGAAGCACCGGCUAAAUACGUGCCGGCAGCCGCGGUAAUCUGAGCGGCUGGCAAGGC
This 197-nucleotide ribosomal RNA is filed under the name uncultured bacterium. RNAcentral describes it as "partial 16S ribosomal RNA". It matches the Rfam family "Bacterial small subunit ribosomal RNA", at positions 328 to 539 of the family's 1533-position model. The record is from RNAcentral.